Molecule: long non-coding RNA, 1843 nt
Organism: Seriola aureovittata
Lineage: Eukaryota; Metazoa; Chordata; Actinopteri; Carangiformes; Carangidae
Exons: 3
Source: RefSeq, a predicted model, not a curated record
CGAUGCUUCAACACUAAGAGGAGGCGAUGCCUUUGUUAGGAUCUUUAAAAAGUCACACUGGUGCUCGCCAGCUGCGCCAGCUGUUGUCACUUUCAGACCACAAACUUAUUCCAUCAGACAGGCGCGUGCUCCACGCUCCUGCCCCACGCUGGGGGCGUGUCCCCGCCAUUGCUGCAGCUGAAUGGAUCUGGAAACAGCCUGGGAAAACAGACAUCCCCACCCUCGCCACUGCGCCCCCACUCUGCCGCUAAGUGCAUGCUGGGACCUGCCUGAUGGCCCCACUCUGCGGUGUAACUGGAAUUUGUGAAGAAGUGCUGCCUUCAAGUGCUCCACCUGCAGCUGUGUCCGACUUAUCAGCUCGCGAAAAGGACUUCCCAAAACACCAAGAUAUUCAACCUACAUCGAUAUUAAACAGAGGAAAAAUGCUAAGAUGAGAAGAUGGAACCAGAGGAUUUAUUGAAUAUGUUAUUUUAACAACAUGGGACCACAUGAUACAGUAAGUUGAUAUUUAAUGAUGGCACCAUAGAGCUUUUCUGUGAUGCAGUGCAAGAAAGAGAAGGAACACGGACAUGUAAUCAUUAAGUGUGCUUCAUGGCAAUAAAAGAUCAAUUAAGCAAAAGUAAAAACAAUGAAAUCACUAUUAAAACAGGACAGUGGAUCAAGAAUAAAUACAUUAUAUACAGCGUUGCAAAUAAUAAUAGUUUUUCAUUAACAAUUGAUCAGAUGAUUACUAAUAUUUUGUAAUUAAAAUUAUAAACUUGCUGAUUGAUUAUCAGAAGUGGUUCAGGACUGUUAUGGUGCUCUGUACCUGGUGAGGUCUCAGUGGAAGCAGCAGAGCCCCACUCACUGCUGGAUGCAGAUACAGCUCUGAGCACUGAGCCAACACACAAUCUUUCAUCACAUUUCCCACAAUCCAACUGUACAUGGUGCUGGCACACUCUUUCAUAUACACACACACACACACACACACACACACACAUUAUAUAAAUGAAUGUGUACAUGCUUUGCUUACAUAAACGGCCCUGCACUGUGGCACCGCCAUCAUCACAGAAACAUUAAGCUCGGUAUGUAAAUACAGUUUCAUAUUAACAGCAGCAGAGAACAACUUUUUUCUCUCUCUCACACACUCUCUCACACACACACACACACACACACACACACACACACACACACACACACACACACACACACACACACACACACACACACACACACACACACACACACACACACUUAAUGCCCUUCUCUGACUCACUGCACUACUCCAGCCGUAAAAUGUCAUGACCAUUUAUGUGCACAAAGUCCAAACUCUCUCCUGCAGUGGUUCAGUGGAGCCCAUUAGAGCUCACAAAGAGGCUGCACUUCUAUUCAAAGAGUCUCUAAUCUGCACUUAAAAUGCAGGAAAAACUUCAACAUUGUGUCUUAUUCAUUAAGAAAAGCUGUAUAAAAUGUUUUUAACAAGACAUAUGGGAGGUUUUCACUUAAAUAAUCUGUUCUUGCUUGAGCUUUUACACUUGUGGGAACUUAAAUGUUGCAUUUUUAGCAAAUUUGAAACAAAAAACAAAUAUAAAUAUCUGGAAAAAUCAUGAAAAUCUCGACUUUUACAUAUUUAAGUUCAUUUUCAAAAGAUAUGAGGUGGUGAGACAAGCACUAUUUUCAUCCUUGUGGUUAAAGGGAAUAUAUGUCAGUCACUUAAAGUGCACAUGAAAAUCUGAGUGUUUACCCAAAAUCUUGCCACUAGGGACUUCCUGUCAGGAUAUAAAAAUCCGCAGUGCCUGUUUAUUCUUGACUGGGUCUCCAACUUUACCUUAUGUUUUUAUCUGUUGUCUAUACCAUGUUGUGG